RNA transcript from Homo sapiens (human), 5697 nucleotides. It is a transcript of the gene named ATPase H+ transporting V0 subunit a1, with no coding region annotated. The record is from RefSeq and is marked reviewed. The transcript is spliced from 23 exons. NCBI's taxonomy places the organism in Eukaryota, Metazoa, Chordata, Mammalia, Primates, Hominidae.
ACGUCGAAGCGCUGCUCCUGGAGCCGCGGAGGGUGCGGGUUUGGCUGCGGUGGUUUCUGUGGCGGUUGCUGUGGCGGAGUUUGGAGGUUGGAGAGAAAUCCAGGUACUCACUAGACUGGUACCUUCUGCCACCAUGGGGGAGCUUUUCCGGAGUGAAGAAAUGACACUGGCCCAGCUUUUUCUACAGUCAGAGGCUGCUUAUUGUUGUGUCAGUGAAUUAGGAGAACUUGGAAAGGUUCAGUUUCGUGACUUAAAUCCAGAUGUGAAUGUUUUCCAACGGAAAUUUGUGAAUGAAGUUAGAAGAUGUGAAGAAAUGGAUCGAAAGCUUCGAUUUGUUGAGAAAGAGAUAAGAAAAGCUAACAUUCCGAUUAUGGACACCGGUGAAAACCCAGAGGUUCCCUUCCCCCGGGACAUGAUUGACUUAGAGGCCAAUUUUGAGAAGAUUGAAAAUGAACUGAAGGAAAUCAACACAAACCAGGAAGCUCUGAAGAGAAACUUCCUGGAACUGACCGAAUUAAAAUUUAUACUUCGCAAAACUCAGCAAUUUUUUGAUGAGGCUGAAUUGCAUCAUCAGCAGAUGGCGGAUCCAGACUUGUUGGAAGAGUCCUCAUCCCUCUUGGAGCCAAGUGAGAUGGGAAGAGGCACUCCUUUAAGACUUGGCUUCGUGGCUGGUGUCAUUAACCGGGAGCGCAUCCCUACUUUUGAGCGCAUGCUUUGGCGGGUAUGCCGGGGAAAUGUGUUCCUGCGACAGGCUGAAAUCGAGAACCCCCUGGAGGAUCCUGUGACUGGCGACUACGUGCACAAGUCUGUGUUUAUCAUUUUCUUCCAAGGCGAUCAGCUGAAAAACAGAGUCAAGAAAAUCUGUGAAGGGUUCCGAGCCUCACUCUAUCCCUGUCCUGAGACACCACAGGAGAGGAAGGAAAUGGCUUCUGGAGUGAAUACCAGGAUUGAUGAUCUCCAAAUGGUUCUGAAUCAAACGGAGGAUCACCGCCAGAGGGUUCUGCAGGCAGCUGCUAAGAACAUCCGUGUCUGGUUCAUCAAAGUGCGGAAGAUGAAGGCCAUCUAUCACACCCUGAACCUGUGCAACAUAGAUGUGACUCAGAAAUGCUUGAUUGCAGAGGUCUGGUGCCCUGUCACCGACCUUGACUCCAUCCAGUUUGCACUCAGAAGGGGCACGGAACACAGUGGUUCCACUGUACCUUCCAUUUUGAACAGGAUGCAGACAAACCAGACUCCCCCAACCUAUAACAAAACCAACAAGUUUACCUAUGGCUUUCAGAACAUAGUAGAUGCUUAUGGAAUUGGAACUUACCGAGAGAUAAAUCCAGCUCCGUAUACUAUUAUCACGUUCCCUUUUCUAUUUGCUGUGAUGUUUGGAGACUUCGGUCAUGGCAUUUUAAUGACCCUUUUUGCUGUGUGGAUGGUACUGAGGGAGAGCCGGAUCCUUUCCCAGAAGAAUGAGAAUGAGAUGUUUAGCACUGUGUUCAGUGGUCGAUACAUUAUUUUAUUGAUGGGUGUGUUCUCCAUGUACACUGGCCUCAUCUACAAUGAUUGCUUUUCCAAGUCUCUUAAUAUCUUUGGGUCAUCCUGGAGUGUACGGCCGAUGUUUACUUAUAAUUGGACUGAAGAGACGCUUCGGGGGAACCCUGUUCUACAGCUGAACCCAGCCCUCCCUGGAGUGUUUGGUGGACCAUACCCUUUUGGCAUUGAUCCAAUUUGGAACAUUGCUACCAAUAAACUGACGUUCUUGAACUCCUUUAAGAUGAAGAUGUCUGUUAUCCUUGGUAUCAUCCAUAUGCUGUUUGGAGUCAGCCUGAGUCUGUUCAACCAUAUCUAUUUCAAGAAGCCCCUGAAUAUCUACUUUGGAUUUAUUCCUGAAAUAAUCUUCAUGACCUCUUUGUUUGGCUAUUUGGUUAUCCUUAUUUUUUACAAGUGGACGGCCUAUGAUGCUCAUACCUCUGAGAAUGCACCAAGCCUUCUGAUCCAUUUCAUAAACAUGUUCCUCUUUUCCUACCCAGAGUCUGGUUAUUCAAUGUUGUAUUCUGGACAGAAAGGAAUUCAGUGUUUCCUGGUAGUGGUUGCACUACUGUGUGUACCUUGGAUGCUGCUGUUUAAACCAUUGGUCCUUCGCCGUCAGUAUUUGAGGAGAAAGCAUUUGGGAACUCUCAACUUUGGUGGGAUCAGGGUGGGCAACGGACCGACAGAGGAGGAUGCUGAGAUUAUUCAGCAUGACCAGCUCUCCACCCACUCAGAGGACGCAGACGAGCCUUCCGAGGACGAAGUGUUUGACUUUGGGGACACCAUGGUCCACCAGGCCAUCCACACCAUCGAGUACUGCCUGGGCUGCAUCUCCAACACUGCCUCCUACUUGCGGCUCUGGGCCCUCAGCCUCGCUCAUGCGCAGCUGUCUGAGGUGCUUUGGACCAUGGUGAUCCACAUCGGCCUGAGCGUGAAGAGCUUGGCGGGAGGUUUGGUGCUGUUCUUCUUCUUCACUGCCUUUGCCACCCUGACCGUGGCCAUCCUCCUGAUCAUGGAGGGCCUCUCGGCCUUUCUCCACGCACUGCGCUUACACUGGUCCCCCUGAACUGAAGUGAUGAGUGGCAGGACAGCAGGCUCCGGAAUUGGGCGACCUGGGUUGGAAUUCCAGCACUGUCACACCAGGCAGGGAACCUGAGCAGAACAUUCACUGCCAAGAUUACUGUGAGCAAGUAGGAAGUAAUGCACACACCAAGUGCUGCCACAGCAAAAGCAGGUGCUCUAGGAUGGGUAGUGGCUGCUCUGCUUAAAAGUGGGAUGCCCUUACUGGGUGCGAUGGCUCACACCUAUAAUCCCAGCAUUCUGGGAGGCUGAGGCAGGCAGAUCACCUGAGGUCAGGAGUUCGAGACCAGCCUGGACAACAUGGUGAAACCCCAUCUCUACUAAAAAUGCAAACAUUAGCUGGGCGUGAUGGUGGGCGCCUGUAAUCCCAGCUACUCGGGAGGCUGAGGCAAGAGAAUCGCUUGAACCCAGGAGAUGGAGGUUGCAGUGAGCCAAGAUCGCGCCACUGCACUGCAACCUGGGCGACAGACCGAGACUCCGUCUCAAAACAACAACAACAACAACAACAACAAAAAAACCUGGGAUGCCCUAGAGAGAGGGUGUCUGCCUGGGGUCCCCCAUAAAAAGACUGCUUUUAGCCUGUCUAGAGUGAGAGAAGACCCCAGAGGAGGCAGAGGAUACCAUCAGAAUGCCCUCAGGUGCUGUUUGCAAGGAACAGCCUCCCCAUAUAUGUCGUAUUUAUUUUGGCAAUAGGAGUAUUGGGUAGGAGAGGAAAAAACAGUGCAAACCUCCUUUGUGCAACUUCCAGAAUCUCGUCUUUGGAGGGCUGUUCCCGUGACACGAGUGGGGCGCCUCCCCCACCACUAAAACAGAAGUGAAUGAAAUUGGUGCUUGUGCGCCCCCUCCUGGCAAAAUGCGGCUGUGCGUCCAGGAUGCCUGGAUCUUCCCUGUGGCCCAGGACUGCAGGAGGCGUUCUGAGCUGUGGCCCUCUUACCAGGGGUGGAGCCUCUGGGGCUGCUGAACCAGCUGUAGGGAUGGUGCUGCUGUUCUUCCUGGCAUCCAUCCUAGGCAUCUUCAUACCUCCCACUUUAUCCCUGCUGUUUCCUGAUUCAAGGGCUGCCCCAUUAUACAAGUUCUGGUCUCCUCAGUGGGGACAAUAAGAAAAACAUUUGAUUCGAUAACAUAUAAACCACUAGUGUGAGAUUCAUGCAGCAUCAUAGGAAGGGGGGUGAUGUGUUUGAAAACAGUGAGCAGGCUAAUGUAUUAAUCUGCUAAUUCUGUCUCCUGAGUUUUCUCUCUUUUCCUCCCUCCUGCCACAUGAAGUGUGCUUGGCUUCUUACCUACCAUAAUUAGACAUCUUUUCUUCCUCAGAGAAGGCAUGAGACAGGGAUUUGAUUGUAGUUAUCACUGUAAACAUCAAACUGAUUUUUAUGCAGAACUAUUGCCCCAGGGCAUACCUUCCAAGGAACCUGGUCUCUCCUUACCUAGCGAAUUCCACAUACACAUAGAUGUACACCUACCUGUACACUCACAGAUUGGGUGGUGAUUAAAGGGACAGAAUCGGGGACCAGCUUCUUGUUAGGAAUGCAGUGUUGCCACGGCAUGACAGCAUGGAGCAGUUGAGGGAAUGGCUGCCCAGGAGAACUCAGAACUCUUGAAAUGUAGUUCCAGGCUGCCAUCAUUGCCCUGAUAUUCAGGCCGUCAGACAGAUGUGUGUUGUAGGCCCUGAACGGCACAGAGAGUGGCAGAACAGGCUACAUAAACAGCUCAGCCCAGAAUUGUCUUUCCAGACUGCCUGCCCUCAGUCACAACCCCCACCAGGGAAGGGAAGCGGCCCCAAGACUCCUUCCUCCUUCACCCACUCGAGGAAACAGAGUUCCUGUUACGUGGCAUGAAUGAUGUCUUUUGGCCCCAGUUAAUCCCUCUGAGUCACCAGGUGGCCUUUGCCAAGUGCUGGAGCUGGAAGAGAUGAUAGAGACACUCAUCUGGCGUCCUGAGGCUCUCCUCACAGCUGUUGAAUUCUAGAGCUGUUCUGAAAUAACCCUUGCCACAUGGGAACACAGUCUAUUCAACAUGAAGAAUUCAAACCUAACACAAGUGGGUGAGAAGCAGGAACCCACUGCUAGGCCCCACCGCGUUCCCUCAGAGGUGGUCUCAGUAGCUGGAACUUGGAGAAGUAGUUUUGGUGGGGUGUUGGGACGUGGGUGAAUCCAGGUCCUGGUUUGGAAUUGCUCUGGUGGGAACCGUCAGCUAACGUCAGUUGGAAGCUCUGUGUCCUCCCCCUCCUGAGUCCUGUUUUUCCUGGAGGACCUUGGCCCACCCCUGUGGAAUGUGGGGAUGUGGGGAAGAAAGCUGACUGCUUUUACUCCCACUCAGAAAAUUCGGUUGCGCUCUUCUUCAAGGGGGUGCUCCUCAGCCUGCACCCCAGUGAAGGGGCCUCUGAGGAACUCCCAGUGCCACUGGCAAACAGUCUGUAACCUUUGGGCCCCAGCCACCUCCCAGCCCCUGUUCUCUUAAUUCCUGCCUUCUUGGCUUGGAGGGAGGAAUCUCCAUUUGUAAAAGCUGAGUUAGGGAACUAGAGGGUUCCUGAAGCUUUAAAGCGCCUCAAAGCCCUCACCCUGCACGUGACCUGUCACCUGGAGCCUGCCCCAGCCCCCACGCCUGCCUGUUCUUAUAGGGGCUCCGGUGCCUCCAGGGUCACACAGCACCAUGUGGAAACUAUUCCUCAGGGCAGCUCUCCUUGGCCUUUUUAUCCCCUGAAUCAUGCAUUUUUCUGCCCUUAUUUGGUGUGGUUUGGUUGCUGGGCAGCUGUCCAGGGUGAGUUUGCAGGAGGAAGCACAGCCAAGCAGCCUCGCUCUGCUUAUGGGACAGUCUUCCUCCCACCCUCCCUGAGAGUGAAAGGGCCCCACAGAGACCAUCAGGCAUGGAUGCUGAACUGCUGGGAAGGGAGCUCAGGCUUUUUCUUUUUAGUCCCCAAGAGAAGAAUUCUUUCUCAGAUGUUUUUGUGGUUGGAGAAUAUUUUUGCCAUUGCUUUGAGAAGACUUCCCCUCCUAACUCCCCCUCUUUCCUUGGAAUUUCCUUCCUUAAAUGGAAAGCCUUCAACAUUCACUCCAAGCUCGCCCUUUUGCUCCCCCAAGGAAAAAUAACAAGCAAACAGAG